UUGGAGGGCAAGUCUGGUGCCAGCAGCCGCGGUAAUUCCAGCUCCAAUAGCGUAUAUUAAAGUUGUUGCAGUUAAAAAGCUCGUAGUUGAAUUUCGGGGUCAAUAAGUUGGUCGUGCCAAUGGUAUGCACUGGCUUUAUUGAUUCCUACCUCUUGACGAACUGUGAUGCCAUUAAUUUGGUGUUGCAGGAAAUCAGGACUGUUACCUUGAAAAAAUUAGAGUGUUUAAAGCAGGCUUACGCUUGAAUACAUUAGCAUGGAAUAAUGAAAUAGGACGUUUGAACCUAUUUUGUUGGUUUCUAGGAUCGACGUAAUGAUUAAUAGGGAUAGUUGGGGCCAUUAGUAUUCAAUUGUCAGAGGUGAAAUUCUUGGAUUUAUUGAAGACUAACUACUGCGAAAGCAUUUGCCAAGGAUGUUUUCAUUAAUCAAGAACGAAAGUUAGGGGAUCGAAGACGGUCAGAUACCGUCGUAGUCUUAACCAUAAACUAUGCCGACUAGGGAUCGGAUGAUGUUAAUUUUUUAAUGACUCAUUCGGCGCCUUACGGGAAAC
This 549-nucleotide ribosomal RNA is filed under the name uncultured Glomeromycotina. RNAcentral's name for it is "SSU rRNA". It matches the Rfam family "Eukaryotic small subunit ribosomal RNA", at positions 548 to 1098 of the family's 1831-position model. The record is from RNAcentral. Lineage: Eukaryota; Fungi; Glomeromycota.